AUUGAACGCUGGCGGUAUGCUUAACACAUGCAAGUCGAACGGUAACAUAACGAGAGCUUGCUCUCUUGAUGACGAGUGGCGGACAGGUCGAGUAACUAUAUAGGAACCUUCCUCAUAGGUUUAGGAUAAGCACUCGAAAGACGUGUCCUAAUACUGGGAUGUGAAACUACGGUUUAAAGCAGGGGAUCUUCGGACCUUGUGCUAUGAGAUGGGGCCUA
This 218-nucleotide ribosomal RNA is filed under the name uncultured Pseudomonadota bacterium. RNAcentral describes it as "uncultured proteobacterium partial 16S ribosomal RNA". It matches the Rfam family "Bacterial small subunit ribosomal RNA", at positions 30 to 232 of the family's 1533-position model. The record is from RNAcentral. Lineage: Bacteria; Pseudomonadati; Pseudomonadota.